RNAcentral lists this small nucleolar RNA (107 nucleotides) under Gossypium hirsutum (cotton). Its description in RNAcentral is "Plant small nucleolar RNA R71". It matches the Rfam family "Plant small nucleolar RNA R71". Rfam says of the family: R71 is a member of the C/D box family of snoRNAs containing the C (UGAUGA) and D (CUGA) box motifs. Multiple nearly identical copies of this snoRNA have been identified in Arabidopsis, and it is thought to function as a 2'-O-ribose methylation guide for 18S ribosomal RNA. The record is from Rfam by way of RNAcentral. Lineage: Eukaryota; Viridiplantae; Streptophyta; Magnoliopsida; Malvales; Malvaceae.
AACCUAUGGUGAGGGCACUUUCUCAGUAAGUCCUUGAAUCUCUCUCAUGCAUCGUAAACUGUUUCUAAAUCCAUCGGUAUAAAAGAAGAGAUAUCAUUACGUAAUUU